RNAcentral lists this ribosomal RNA (371 nucleotides) under uncultured bacterium. Its description in RNAcentral is "bacterial SSU rRNA". It matches the Rfam family "Bacterial small subunit ribosomal RNA", at positions 525 to 896 of the family's 1533-position model. The record is from RNAcentral.
ACGUAGGGUGCGAGCGUUAAUCGGAAUUACUGGGCGUAAAGGGUGCGCAGGCGGUUUGCUAAGACAGCCGUGAAAGCCCCGGGCUUAACCUGGGAGGUGCGCUUGUGACUGGCAGACUAGAGUGCGGCAGAGGGGGGUGGAAUUCCACGUGUAGCAGUGAAAUGCGUAGAGAUGUGGAGGAACACCGAUGGCGAAGGCAGCCCCCUGGGCUAGCACUGACGCUCAGGCACGAAAGCGUGGGGAGCAAACAGGAUUAGAUACCCUGGUAGUCCACGCCCUAAACGAUGUCAACUGGUUGUCGGGGGGGUUACUCCUUGGUAACGAAGCUAACGCGUGAAGUUGACCGCCUGGGGAGUACGGCCGCAAGGUUG